GCGGUUCCAUGCUGAUUUCUCCUGGAGA
RNAcentral lists this small RNA (28 nucleotides) under Bombyx mori (domestic silkworm). RNAcentral's name for it is "ovarian small RNA-16967". Lineage: Eukaryota; Metazoa; Arthropoda; Insecta; Lepidoptera; Bombycidae. The record is from RNAcentral.